RNAcentral lists this ribosomal RNA (417 nucleotides) under uncultured bacterium. RNAcentral describes it as "bacterial SSU rRNA". It matches the Rfam family "Bacterial small subunit ribosomal RNA", at positions 355 to 775 of the family's 1533-position model. The record is from RNAcentral.
UGGGGAAUCUUGCACAAUGGGCGAAAGCCUGAUGCAGCGACGCCGCGUGGGGGAUGAAGCUUCUCGGAGUGUAAACCCCUUUCGACCCGGACGAAUGCCUCGCAAGAGGACUGACGGUACGGGUAUAAGAAGCCCCGGCUAACUACGUGCCAGCAGCCGCGGUAAGACGUAGGGGGCCAGCGUUGCUCGGAAUUACUGGGUGUAAAGGGUUCGUAGGCGGUGUGGCAAGUCGGGAGUGAAAUCUCUGGGCUCAACCCAGAGGCUGCUUCCGAAACUGCCGUGCUUGAGUGUGGGAGAGGCGCGUGGAAUUGCAGGUGUAGCGGUGAAAUGCGUAGAUAUCUGCAGGAACACCCGUGGCGAAAGCGGCGCGCUGGACCACAACUGACGCUGAGGAACGAAAGCUAGGGGAGCAAACAG